Molecule: ribosomal RNA, 497 nt
Filed under: uncultured bacterium
Lineage: Bacteria
Description: partial 16S ribosomal RNA
Rfam family: Bacterial small subunit ribosomal RNA
Source: RNAcentral
GAUGAACGCUGGCGGCGUGCCUAAUACAUGCAAGUCGAGCGAACGGACGAGAAGCUUGCUUCUCUGAUGUUAGCGGCGGACGGGUGAGUAACACGUGGAUAACCUACCUAUAAGACUGGGAUAACUUCGGGAAACCGGAGCUAAUACCGGAUGAUAUUUUGAACCGCAUGGUUCAAAAGUGAAAGACGGUCUUGCUGUCACUUAUAGAUGGAUCCGCGCUGCAUUAGCUAGUUGGUAAGGUAACGGCUUACCAAGGCAACGAUGCAUAGCCGACCUGAGAGGGUGAUCGGCCACACUGGAACUGAGACACGGUCCAGACUCCUACGGGAGGCAGCAGUAGGGAAUCUUCCGCAAUGGGCGAAAGCCUGACGGAGCAACGCCGUGUGAGUGAUGAAGGUCUUCGGAUCGUAAAACUCUGUUAUUAGGGAAGAACAUAUGUGUAAGUAACUGUGCACACCUUGACGGUACCUAAUCAGAAAGCCACGGCUAACUACGUG